AUUCUGAGGAUUUUCUGGCUACGUGCCAUUCUCUCUUCUUUGUUUCUGAUCUUGAGUUUUUCUCCCAAAUACUUAGUGUUAUUUUGAGAGAAUCUGUAAAGAAACUCUUGUGUGAGUUUCUAUUGAGAGCAGAUUGAGUUGUUUCUGUGAAAUCUGGAACUGAGUGUUUUGUAAAUUGUACUUUGCCGAUUUGUGGCCGAUUUUAGUGGAUUCGAGCUUAAUUCUUUAUGGAUACUCAAUGGGGGACUAAGCGUUAGAAACGGUCGCUGAACCUCUGGGGCCUUUGGCUGAAAAAUCUCUCGUGUUCUUAUUUUCUGUUUUUGUUUUGAGAAAAUCUGGAUUUUUGCGUUGAGUAUUUUUGGCAUAAAUUCGAUCCUGGAACUACAAUUCUAAUCCCUAGCAAAAGUUUCUCACCUCUCUCUUGCACUCAUUUCCUUCCUAUACCGGUAGUUGACUUGAUCGUUGAAAUGUAAACGAUCGUUGAACUGUUUUGUCAAUCGGUGAUCUUUGCAUCGUAACGGUGUAUUCCAACAUGCAACUGAUGCUUAGAUGGAUGGGGAAGUGGUUGAAAUUUUGUUGGCCAGGUUUUGAAUUCAACAAUAUUAUUGUUAUUUAGCCCCCGUUUGAGCCCCAUUAUUCUUCGUUACAUUAAAUUAAAUUUUUCUCUCUCCUACUUUUAAUCACACAAUCUUCAAUAAAAUAAUAUUACACGUAAAUCAAAAUCAU
RNAcentral lists this long non-coding RNA (726 nucleotides) under Olea europaea subsp. europaea. Lineage: Eukaryota; Viridiplantae; Streptophyta; Magnoliopsida; Lamiales; Oleaceae. The record is from RNAcentral.